This 253-nucleotide ribosomal RNA is filed under the name uncultured bacterium. Its description in RNAcentral is "partial 16S ribosomal RNA". It matches the Rfam family "Bacterial small subunit ribosomal RNA", at positions 524 to 776 of the family's 1533-position model. The record is from RNAcentral.
UACGUAGGGGGCAAGCGUUAUCCGGAUUUACUGGGUGUAAAGGGAGCGUAGACGGAUGGAUAAGUCUGAAGUGAAAGCCCGCGGCUCAACUGCGGGACUGCUUUGGAAACUGUGCAUCUUGAGUACGGGAGGGGCAGGCGGAAUUCCUGGUGUAGCGGUGAAAUGCGUAGAUAUCAGGAGGAUCACCGGCGGCGAAGGCGGCCUGCUGGACCGAAACUGACGUUGAGGCUCGAAAGCGUGGGGAGCAAACAGG